GAUGAACGCUGGCGGCGUGCCUAAUACAUGCAAGUCGAGCGAACAGACGAGGAGCUUGCUCCUCUGACGUUAGCGGCGGACGGGUGAGUAACACGUGGAUAACCUACCUAUAAGACUGGGAUAACUUCGGGAAACCGGAGCUAAUACCGGAUAAUAUAUUGAACCGCAUGGUUCAAUAGUGAAAGACGGUUUUGCUGUCACUUAUAGAUGGAUCCGCGCCGCAUUAGCUAGUUGGUAAGGUAACGGCUUACCAAGGCAACGAUGCGUAGCCGACCCGAGAGGGUGAUCGGCCACACUGGAACUGAGACACGGUCCAGACUCCUACGGGAGGCAGCAGUAGGGAAUCUUCCGCAAUGGGCGAAAGCUUGGCGGAGCAACGCCGCGUGAGUGAUGAAGGUCUUCGGAUCGUAAAACUCUGUUAUUAGGGAAGAACAAAUGUGUAAGUAACUAUGCACGUCUUGACGGUACCUAAUCAGAAAGCCACGGCUAACUACGUG
This 497-nucleotide ribosomal RNA is filed under the name uncultured bacterium. Its description in RNAcentral is "partial 16S ribosomal RNA". It matches the Rfam family "Bacterial small subunit ribosomal RNA", at positions 28 to 507 of the family's 1533-position model. The record is from RNAcentral.